CCUCACACGGGCUUUGCCUUUGGCUGAACGCUGGGAUUCUUUCACAGAGGCCGUUGGUUGCCAAGAGCGAGCGAGGCUCAGAAAAGCUGGCUGCUCCUUAUUGCAGGGGUUGCCACAAUCAAACUCGCAUGAAGGAUUUGGCAAGUGUUUUACGCUGGAUGUCCUUCCUGACACAACCUGGACUAAAAUCUGCAGCCUUAGGAUCACAAGACUGCAGCACCAACCAACACAGACCACCAAGCACCUGUUUUUGCGUGUCUUGCAAUUGCAAUAAAUCCUGAUUGAUCAUUUCAA
This is a long non-coding RNA of Austrofundulus limnaeus, 294 nucleotides long. RefSeq lists it as uncharacterized. Lineage: Eukaryota; Metazoa; Chordata; Actinopteri; Cyprinodontiformes; Rivulidae. The record is from RefSeq and is a predicted model, not a curated record. The transcript is spliced from 2 exons.